AUUGAACGCUGGCGGCAGGCCUAACACAUGCAAGUCGAACGAGUGGCGGACGGGUGAGUAAUGUCUGGGAAACUGCCUGAUGGAGGGGGAUAACUACUGGAAACGGUAGCUAAUACCGCAUACCAUCGGAUUUGCCCAGAUGGGAUUAGAUAGUUGGUGGGGUAAAGGCUCACCAAGGCGACGUUCCCUGGCAGGUCUGAGAGGAGGACCAGACACACAGGAACUGGGGCACAGGCCAUACACCUACGGGAGGCAGCAGUGGGGAAUAUUGCACAAGAGGAGCGAGCCAGAUGCAGCCAUGCCGCGGGUAUGAAGAAGGCCUUCGGGUUGUAAAGUACUUACAGCGGGGAGACGUAACCCACAGAAGGAGCACCGGCUAACUCCGUGCCAGCAACCACGGUAAUAC
This 406-nucleotide ribosomal RNA is filed under the name uncultured bacterium. Its description in RNAcentral is "partial 16S ribosomal RNA". It matches the Rfam family "Bacterial small subunit ribosomal RNA", at positions 29 to 526 of the family's 1533-position model. The record is from RNAcentral.